UACGGAGGGGGCGAGCGUUAUUCGGAAUUAUUGGGCGUAAAGGGCGCGUAGGCGGCCCGGUAAGUCAAAGGUGAAAUCCCCCGGCUUAACCUGGGAACUGCGUCUGAUACUGGGAGGCUAGAGUAUGGGAGAGGGAUGUAGAAUUCCAGGUGUAGCGGUGAAAUGCGUAGAUAUCUGGAGGAAUACCGGUGGCGAAGGUGGCAUCCUGGACCAUUACUGACGCUGAGGCGCGAAAGCUAGGGGAGCAAACAGG
RNAcentral lists this ribosomal RNA (253 nucleotides) under uncultured bacterium. RNAcentral's name for it is "partial 16S ribosomal RNA". It matches the Rfam family "Bacterial small subunit ribosomal RNA", at positions 524 to 776 of the family's 1533-position model. The record is from RNAcentral.